UCCGCUGUAGUGUAGUGGUUUAGCAUUUCUGGUUUUCAAUCAUCAAUCUCCAGACGACGCGAGUUCAAACCUCGCCAGCGGAA
This is a non-coding RNA of Elasticomyces elasticus, 83 nucleotides long. The record is from the annotation of a GenBank genome assembly. NCBI's taxonomy places the organism in Eukaryota, Fungi, Ascomycota, Dothideomycetes, Mycosphaerellales, Teratosphaeriaceae.